RNAcentral lists this long non-coding RNA (1045 nucleotides) under Numida meleagris (helmeted guineafowl). RNAcentral describes it as "lncRNA (ENSNMEG00000015526.1)". Lineage: Eukaryota; Metazoa; Chordata; Aves; Galliformes; Numididae. The record is from RNAcentral.
CCCGCAAUGUCUGCCCUCCAGGAGCCCUCCCACAGGUUUGCACAGCCCUGAGGUGCUGCGGUGUUACCUCGGUUCCUCCUAGUGCUUCUCAGUCAGCUUGGAGCCUGGUUGCUGGCUCCUUGUGGGGAUAGCUCUCCAUUUCCCUGCUGAAGGAUCUGCUGGGCUGUGCUGGGAGGCUGCGGAGGAAUUUGGGUGAGGGUGCCGUGUACACCACCAGCAUGGUUCCUGCCGUCAUCCAGGAGAAGGAUUCUGGGCCAUCCCUGACCUGCUGUGCUGUUGCUUGGCGUGUUUGAGGCAGGCUCUGAGGAACAGCGUGCAGAAUUCAUGUCACCAGACUUGUUACUGCUCUAUUGCAGGCCUCCAGCAAGCCACAAGGUGAACUACACAAUGUGAACUACAGCUGUCUUCCUUGUUUUCUCAUCACACCAAUCUCCAGCUACGCAAACCGGGCUGUUUGGAGCUGUGGAUGAGGAUAAAACUUCACAAAACUGGGAUGAAGUCCAUUAGAUAGGCAUUUCUUGCUUGUAGAAUAUGGCUGUAAAGCAGUGAGUCUGCAUUAAUUUGCAGUACUUCACAGUGCAGUACUUUGCUCUCAGACGGUGCGUACCGUUUGGAAGAGUGAUCUUCCUGUCCCUUGUGGUGCCAAAGCGGUGGGAACCCUGAAAUGGAAGAACCAACAGAAAACCACGUGUGAGAGCAGCUCCAGGACCACGCAUUUGACAGACCGGGGUUAAAGGGAAGAAGCCCAGAAGCUCAUCUGCAAAGCGUGAUUAAAGGCAGAGCUCUCUUGCCAAGGUUACAGCAAGUUCAACCUCUUGGCCAUUUUCUGGGGAGAUGUGUUAAGCCAGGCCUUGAGCUGUGCCAGGGCAGCUUGCCAGCUUCUGGGCAGCCUUGCUGGGAAGAGAGCAGAGAAGCCGGGAGCUCUGCAUGUGUCUACAUGGAAGAAGAGUGGUGUAUAGCCUGACAGAUAUUGAUAAGCGAAUGUCAUCCACUGCCCAAGAUCACAGCAAAUAAAAUGUCCCAACAAGAAGUGAAGAAGUCUGGU